Molecule: microRNA precursor, 53 nt
Filed under: Ciona intestinalis (vase tunicate)
Lineage: Eukaryota; Metazoa; Chordata; Ascidiacea; Phlebobranchia; Cionidae
Description: microRNA cin-mir-4006f precursor
Source: miRBase by way of RNAcentral
UGGAACAUGCAGGUAAGGGCUGUUUCCCCAACCCUUAACUGUCUGUUUAAAAC